This 4090-nucleotide long non-coding RNA is filed under the name Homo sapiens (human). RNAcentral describes it as "HSALNT0088627". The record is from RNAcentral. Lineage: Eukaryota; Metazoa; Chordata; Mammalia; Primates; Hominidae.
AAUAGCUGUGCUCUUGGAUGUUCCCUGCAGAGUGCAAGUGGCUGUGGACAGAACAAUGAAACCUGAGGAAGAAACUUAAUAUUGAGAAUGAAUACUGGCACACCUAGAGGAAUUUCUACAAAGAAUAUAAGAUUACCAAACUGAACAUAAGAAACCAUAAAUGACAUGUACACUGUUGGAAAUAUAUCUAAAUUUGCAUAGAACUUUGUCAGAUAAAUCACAGCUAAACCUGUUGAAUUUUUUAUAAUCAAGAGUAAUAAGUGUGGCUAUCAAUGUGCAUUUUAAUCCAAGUUUCUUAGAAGUCUGUAAUUGUUCCAGGUUGGUGAGAUACAGUUUCUAACACAAAGUACAGAAUUUCUCUCAUCAGAGUAAGAGAUUCUUGUGCCUGUGUGUCUGUUCUCUCCUACCUGAGUAUAUAAUGUCUCUGCUGGAUUACCCAAGACCGUUCUGUUCACAAAGAGCCUGAAGUGGAAGAAUCUGUGGGUAUUUACAUGUUCUCAAACCUGUCUGGAUUGUUGUAACUACAAGGGAAAGUAUUAGGCCAAUUCAAAUGCUAACUUUGCAAAAGCACUCAACCAAAAACAAUUCAGCAUCACUGUCUUAAAAGAAUUUGGGCAAACUAAAGAAGCAAAUUUAUUUUAUUUUAUUUUAUUUUAUUUUAUUUUUUGAGACUGAGUCUCACUCUCGCCCAGGCUGGAGUGCAGUGGCACGAUCUCAGCUCACUGUAACCUCUGCCUCCCAGUUUCAAGUGAUUCUCCUGCCUCAGCCUCCUGAGUAGCUGGGAUUACAGGUGCCUGCCACCAUGCCCAGCUAAUGUUUGUAUUUUUGGUAGAGAUGGGGUUUCACCAUGUUGGUCAGGCUGGUCUCAAACUCCCGACCUCGUGAUCCACCCACCUUGGCCUCCCAAAGUGCUGGGAUUAUAGGCGUGAGCCACUGUGCCCAGUUGUAAACUUUAAAUUAAUACAAUAUAAAGCCUACAUAACUCCCUGGGAAUGUCAAACUUGUGGGACUCACAGUGGAUAUACAUGAAAGGCCAUAUCCUGAGAUCCAAAGGAAAAGCUGAUUUAAAUGACAAGAUAUGUUAUAUUUACCAAUGCAUAUAUUUAAUGAAUCAAGCACACAGUCCUCAUCUAUUCAGCAAUUUCAGCAAUUUCAGUGCUUUUCCUGCUUGCCUUGAAAAUUUCAUCUAGGAGUUCACAAAGGAAUACUCUUUGAAGCUUCAUCAUCAAAAGGAUUUUUCCCCAGGGAAGUCGAGUUUUUAGUUGUCUUUUAUUGUCAUCAAUCCUUAGUCUAGGUCUGUCCUCUGGUGAUGGGUUGUGUUUACAGCAACAGUGUUCCUGGACCCAGAGAUCCUCAGGCAACAUUAUAGUGACCAUUUAUUCUGACCCCCUAAAUGGAAAUGAGGUCUAAUGAAUGAGGCUUAUAAUGUUAUUUGGUUUUCCUGGAAUAAAAUAACCUGGAAACAGUGGUUGGAAAUCACUGGCUUGGAGAAGCCAAGAGUGCUUGCUGUCUUCAACAGUUCAGUAUGUGCUGCUAAUUACAUCAAUAUACACCAGUGAGCACCUGACCAAUCUCUUUGCACGGAAACCUUUGUCAAUCUUGUGCUCCCUUUCUUCUGUAGUUCCUGGUCCAGGCUGCAUGGAUAAUGAGGGAGUAGGAAAGAGCUAACACAGUUCACCUUGGCUUCAUCCAAAAGCCAAUUCUUGUCUUCCCAGCUACAUCCCUCUGACAGUUCCAACUCCUUUAUCGUCUGCAUUUUAGCAUCCCUUUCAUGAAGAGCUAUUUGAAAAUCAACCAAAAAUUACAUACAAGCCUUAAAUUGAAGUUUGCCAAUUUAGGUGCAGUAAUUGCAGAAGAAAGAAAAACAGUUACUAGAGGAGUUGAGGAGAAAGAUCACUACAUGGUAGGUAAGAGAAGAUUGCCCAAAUAGGGAGAGCAAGGAUAAUUUUUAAGAUCAUGGCAUUGGUGUGCACAAACUUAGCUUCCUUUGGGACAGGCCUCAUAGGGUAGUGAGACACCAUCUCCUUUAAAUGUGAUGGCAACACUUGACUCAUUCUAAAUUACAGGCAUCCCUAAUUUUUAUGCCAAGAAAGAUUUUCUCCAAUGUAAUGUGGGAAGACCAGAUGGCCUUGUCAUUGCUAUCAGUGGAUCACGGAGCUCUUGAGAGCAUGCCGAGGGCUCUGGCUUUAGCUAAUUAACGUGAGCUCCGAGUCAGAGGCAAGAAUUAAGCAAUCAACUCCUUUCUUGAAUUCUUAUACAUUUUGGAAUUGUGCCCAUGAUUAGCUUGCUCUGAAAAGUCUCAAUAUAGAAAAAAAAGUAUCACUUGGGCUAAGCAAAGAAUUAUAGGAAAACUCCCAUAUGUACUUGGAAAGAGAAAUUAAAUGUCUAAUUAGGGCAAGAUAAAACCAGAUAGAGCCAAAUCUAUAAUACUUUUUUGUAGGAGAAAUAUUUAUUUCUAUUAAUAGAGGUUGUGUAAAGUUUUGAGAGUUAGGCGGAAUCAGGUAGCCUCUGAUUAAGUUGCAUUUUAAUAUUUCAUACAAUUUUUGAGGAAAAUAAAGCCCCUAUUAGUCAAGUGGAUAUUGUAAAUGACGUCAAGAUUAUUUUUCUGCGUGAAAGAGUGCAUCAUAAAUCUCUUUUUCCUUCAGUCUUUCUUGUGUUUAUUAUUUCUACAUACACAGCAUCCAAUAGAGUGACUAACACAUAGUGAAUAUUUAAAAAUGUUUGCUGAAAAAAAUGACUAGAUUUGGAACAAGAUUCUGUGUGGUACUGUCGCUGCUAUAUGGUUAUUGCAUGGGAAGCUUUGAAUCCAUUUAUUAACUUGUUUGCUAAACAAACAAUUGUUGAUCUCCUGCUGUGGGCCUAGGUAUGGAGUUCUAGGGAUAAGAAUAAAACAGACAAAAAUAAAACAAAAGCUGAACAUCUACAACUUUGAGUUAGUAUGACCCUUUGAAUUUGUGAAGAUUAUUGAUAUUGAUAUGAUAUUUCUUGUAAUAUGAUACAGUUCUUCCAAUAUUGCAGCAACAUGAUGAUUAAAUACAAAAAACCCCAACCCCAAACAAUAGCUUUUUGGACUCACAACCCAAGUAUGUGCAUUUCUUUCAUUUCCUUGUCUCCUUGCUUGACUCCCAUUACCCUAUUUUUUUUUUAAGAUGGAGUCUCACUCUGUCACCCAGAGUGGAGGGCAGUGGUGCAAUCUUGGCUCACUACAAUCUCCGCCUUCCAGCUUCAAGCUAUUCUCCUGCCUCAGGCUCCUGAGUUGCUAGGACUACAGGCAUGCACUAUCACAGCCAGCUAAUUUUCAUAGUUUUAGUAGAGAUGGGGUUUCACUAUGUUGGCCAGGCUGGUCUCGAGCUCCUGACCUCAGGUGAUCCACCCGAGGUCUCCCAAAGUGUUGGGAUUACAGAUGUGAGCCACUGUGCCUGGCCCCAUUACCUUACUUUACAGAUUGCUUCCAUUGUCCAGCAAUUUACAAGAAGAGAGCUGCUUCUAUAUCCCAGGUCAAUGUUGCUUUCAGGCAGUGGAGCCAAAGGGUAGAGAAGAAUGAGAUAAUGUGGAUCUAUAGCCAUGUGCUUUUUCCCCUGUGCUGGCCUGGAAAGAAUGUCCAAAGCUCUCACAGAUGUGCACACUCAAACUAACAUUUAUUUUAUGAAAGCUCUUUCCUUUGGCAUGCAGCCUUUGUCUACAACACAGCUUUCUGACAAAAUUCUCCCAAGGCUUUUUCUUAAGGUGGUGCAAGCUCUAGGCUUGGGGUGUCCAAUAUGGUAGCCACUAACUGCAUGUAUCAGGCCCUUGAAAUGUGUCUGGUGUGACUGAGGAACUAAACUUCUAAUUUCAUUUAAUUUUAAUUAAUUUAAAGCUAACUUUAAAACUGGUAAUUCAGUUUUGGAAAUGUUUCAAGAAUGUUUGGAACAACUUGGUGCCUCUGCAAAUCUGUUUUUUUCAACUGUUAAUUUCAUGAAAUCUAAAUACAGAUCAAGUAUUUCCGAUGAAAAUUUAGUGUCCAAAUUGAGAUGUAAAGUGCAAAAUAUGUACCAGAUUUCAAAACAGUACAAAAUGUAAACUAUCUCAAAUAAUUUUUAAAAUAUUGAUU